This 253-nucleotide ribosomal RNA is filed under the name uncultured bacterium. RNAcentral's name for it is "partial 16S ribosomal RNA". It matches the Rfam family "Bacterial small subunit ribosomal RNA", at positions 524 to 776 of the family's 1533-position model. The record is from RNAcentral.
UACGUAGGGGGCAAGCGUUGUCCGGAAUCAUUGGGCGUAAAGAGCGUGUAGGCGGCUUGGUAAGUCCGCUGUGAAAGUUCAGGGCUCAACCCUGAAAUGCCGGUGGAAACUGUCGGGCUAGAGUCCGGAAGAGGCGAGUGGAAUUCCUGGUGUAGCGGUGAAAUGCGCAGAUAUCAGGAGGAACACCAAUGGCGAAGGCAGCUCGCUGGGACGGUACUGACGCUGAGACGCGAAAGCGUGGGGAGCAAACAGG